CUUGGAAGGGGGGUGGGGGACGGACAGAGCACACCGCAGGGCAGGUUUCCCGCUUGGAAGGGGGGGUGGGGGACGGACAGAGCACACCGCAGGGCAGGUUUCCCGCUUGGAAGGGGGGGUGGGGGACGGACAGAGCACACCGCAGGGCAGGUUUCCCGCUUGGAAGGGGGGUGGGGGACGGACAGAGCACACCGCAGGGCAGGUUUCCCGCUUGGAAGGGGGGGUGGGGGACGGACAGAGCACACCGCAGGGCAGGUUUCCCGCUUGGAAGGGGGGGGUGGGGGACGGACAGAGCACACCGCAGGGCAGGUUUCCCGCUUGGAAGGGGGGGUGGGGGACGGACAGAGCACACCGCAGGGCAGGUUUCACGCUUGGAAGGGGGGAUCGGUGAGGAAGAAGCACCCCGCAGGACACGGUUCCCGCUUGGAAGGGGGGGUGGGGGACGGACAGAGCACACCGCAGGGCAGGUUUCACGCUUGGAAGGGGGGAUCGGUGAGGAAGAAGCACCCCGCAGGACACGGUUCCCGCUUGGAAGGGGGGGGGGGGGGACGGACAGAGCACACCGCAGGGCAGGUUUCACGCUUGGAAGGGGGGAUCGGUGAGGAAGAAGCACCCCGCAGGACACGGUUCCCGCUUUGAAGGGGGGGUGGGGGACGG
Molecule: long non-coding RNA, 657 nt
Organism: Gopherus flavomarginatus (Mexican gopher tortoise)
Lineage: Eukaryota; Metazoa; Chordata; Testudines; Testudinidae
Exons: 5
Source: RefSeq, a predicted model, not a curated record